Long non-coding RNA from Xiphophorus couchianus (Monterrey platyfish), 1173 nucleotides. RefSeq lists it as uncharacterized. Lineage: Eukaryota; Metazoa; Chordata; Actinopteri; Cyprinodontiformes; Poeciliidae. The record is from RefSeq and is a predicted model, not a curated record. The transcript is spliced from 2 exons.
AUUGGAAAUAUAUUUUUUAUGAAUCACAAAGUUGCAAUUGAAUUGUUAUUGAUGAUUCUGAUAAAAUGUAGAGUUUGUUGAUGGUUUCAUAUUUACUGUGUCAUGUAAAUAACUGAACUGCGUUGUUGCUGAAAUGCGAUAUACACACAAACUUCACCUCAACUGUAUGUAAAUAAAGGUAGAAAUCAGGAAUAAUUAACAUUUCUGGUUAAAACUUCAAAUUAUUUUCCUUUAUAUAAAUCUAGACCAACAACAACAAAAACAAAUAAAACAAAAACUUGACAUGUCUUGUUAUAAAAACAAACAUGUCCAGUAGACAAAAAUAAACAACGCAUUACUUUUCUUUGGAAAUCAAACCAGCAGUUUGCACCAGGCAGGUGAGGCUGCUCUCUCUGACAUGACGCGUUUGUGUCUGGUGUAAACACGCCCUGUUACCACGGCGAUAAAACUCGUUAAUCUUGAAUAUCUACUGUCCCCCAUUGCAUCACUUAAAAAGAAAACAGUGUUUGCAUUAUCCUGAGAGUACAGUUUGAAGUUGUUCAUUGAAAACCAGGCUGGGAUGAGCGGUGUCACGCUAUGCAGCGUUUCCCACACAGCGAUCAGACACAUUGGAAUAUUUAUUUAGGAAUUAAUCACUACCCAAAGUUUGCUCCAGCUGUGUUUUGGCUCCACCUUCGUUCUCAUGCUUUGCCUGAAGCCAAACUAAAACUGUGGAUGUAAAGGAAACGCUCAUGACCUUCCUCCGCCCCAUUGGAUACAUUUCAAUUAAAACGCUGAAAAACCACAUAAGGCAGGAGCAAACCCGUCACCAAACGAGAUGAUAAUCUACUUAAUGUUGCUUCCUGCAAAAGAUAAACUUCCAGUCAAGUCCAGAAUAAUAAUUCCUUAUAUAAAUGGCUUAAACAUAAUGAAAUGUUCAGUUUGAGCCCUUAAAACAUUUACAGUUGUUUUAGAUUUCCUUUUAUUUCAUCAUUUUCACUAGAUGUGUAAAUAUGUAUAAUGUGGAACAUAUUUGGAUGAGAGAAUUUGGGUUAGGAUUUAAUAAACUUUGUCCUUUUCAAACUGGAUAUGGAAGUUUUGUUUUUGUUUAGCUAUGAUGAAUAUUUUUUGUUAUUUUUUUCCCUGACAUUUGACCCGUUCAAAAUAAAUAAAGAACUAAUUUAAUGCAUUUUA